AACGCACAUUGCGCCCUCUGGUAUUCCGGGGGGCACACCUAUUCGAGCGUCAUAUAGACCAUCGAGCCAGGCUCGGUAUUGGGCGGUCGCCGCACCCGCGGGCGCGGUGGUGGCGACGCCUGGAAGCCAUCAGCGACAGCGUCUGGUCUUCGAGCGUGACAGCGGCACAUCCCGAGCGCUUUGGAGGGCCGGCACGACUGGUUGCUGCGUCUGACGCAACAGCAAACAGGUUGACCUCGGAUUAGGUGGGGUUACCCGCUGAACUUAA
Molecule: unclassified non-coding RNA, 268 nt
Filed under: uncultured fungus
Lineage: Eukaryota; Fungi
Description: partial contains 5.8S ribosomal RNA, internal transcribed spacer 2, and large subunit ribosomal RNA
Source: RNAcentral